UGGGCCCGUGGCCUAGAAGGAUAAGGCGGCGGCCUCCUAAGCCACCAGCUGCGGCGAAGAGAGCCGCAGAUCGUGGGUUCGAGUCCCACCGGGCCCGA
RNAcentral lists this transfer RNA (98 nucleotides) under Candidatus Calditenuaceae archaeon HR02. RNAcentral's name for it is "archaeon HR02 tRNA-Arg". It matches the Rfam family "tRNA". Rfam says of the family: Transfer RNA (tRNA) molecules are approximately 80 nucleotides in length. The record is from RNAcentral. Lineage: Archaea; Thermoproteati; Nitrososphaerota; Candidatus Caldarchaeales; Candidatus Calditenuaceae.